RNAcentral lists this ribosomal RNA (274 nucleotides) under uncultured bacterium. Its description in RNAcentral is "partial 16S ribosomal RNA". It matches the Rfam family "Bacterial small subunit ribosomal RNA", at positions 523 to 796 of the family's 1533-position model. The record is from RNAcentral.
AUGCGGAGGGGGUUAGCGUUGUUCGGAAUUACUGGGCGUAAAGCGUACGUAGGCGGAUCAGAAAGUAUAGGGUGAAAUCCCAGGGCUCAACCCUGGAACUGCCUUAUAAACUCCUGGUCUUGAGUUCGAGAGAGGUGAGUGGAAUUCCAAGUGUAGAGGUGAAAUUCGUAGAUAUUUGGAGGAACACCAGUGGCGAAGGCGGCUCACUGGCUCGAUACUGACGCUGAGGUGCGAAAGCGUGGGGAGCAAACAGGAUUAGAAACCCCGGUAGUCC